UACGGGGGGGGCAAGCGUUGUUCGGAAUUACUGGGCGUAAAGGGCUCGUAGGCGGCCAACUAAGUCGGAUGUGAAAUCCCCAGGCUUAACCUGGGAACUGCAUCCGAUACUGGAUGGCUUGAAUUCGGGAGAGGGAUGCAGAAUUCCAGGUGUAGCGGUGAAAUGCGUAGAUAUCGGGAGGAACACCAGUGGCGAAGGCGGCUUCCUGGCCUGUUCUUGACGCUGAGGCGCGAAAGCUAGGGGAGCAAACGGG
This 253-nucleotide ribosomal RNA is filed under the name uncultured bacterium. Its description in RNAcentral is "partial 16S ribosomal RNA". It matches the Rfam family "Bacterial small subunit ribosomal RNA", at positions 524 to 776 of the family's 1533-position model. The record is from RNAcentral.